Molecule: ribosomal RNA, 980 nt
Filed under: Mycobacterium sp.
Lineage: Bacteria; Bacillati; Actinomycetota; Actinomycetes; Mycobacteriales; Mycobacteriaceae
Description: bacterial SSU rRNA
Rfam family: Bacterial small subunit ribosomal RNA
Source: RNAcentral
GCCUAUCAGCUUGUUGGUGAGGUUACGGCUCACCAAGGCGACGACGGGUAGCCGGCCUGAGAGGGUGACCGGCCACACUGGGACUGAGAUACGGCCCAGACUCCUACGGGAGGCAGCAGUGGGGAAUAUUGCACAAUGGGCGCAAGCCUGAUGCAGCGACGCCGCGUGAGGGAUGACGGCCUUCGGGUUGUAAACCUCUUUCGCCAGGGACGAAGCGCAAGUGACGGUACCUGGAGAAGAAGGACCGGCCAACUACGUGCCAGCAGCCGCGGUAAUACGUAGGGUCCGAGCGUUGUCCGGAAUUACUGGGCGUAAAGAGCUCGUAGGUGGUUUGUCGCGUUGUCCGUGAAAACUCACAGCUCAACUGUGGGCGUGCGGGCGAUACGGGCAGACUAGAGUACUGCAGGGGAGACUGGAAUUCCUGGUGUAGCGGUGGAAUGCGCAGAUAUCAGGAGGAACACCGGUGGCGAAGGCGGGUCUCUGGGCAGUAACUGACGCUGAGGAGCGAAAGCGUGGGGAGCGAACAGGAUUAGAUACCCUGGUAGUCCACGCCGUAAACGGUGGGUACUAGGUGUGGGUUUCCUUCCUUGGGAUCCGUGCCGUAGCUAACGCAUUAAGUACCCCGCCUGGGGAGUACGGCCGCAAGGCUAAAACUCAAAGAAAUUGACGGGGGCCCGCACAAGCGGCGGAGCAUGUGGAUUAAUUCGAUGCAACGCGAAGAACCUUACCUGGGUUUGACAUGCACAGGACGCCGGCAGAGAUGUCGGUUCCCUUGUGGCCUGUGUGCAGGUGGUGCAUGGCUGUCGUCAGCUCGUGUCGUGAGAUGUUGGGUUAAGUCCCGCAACGAGCGCAACCCUUAUCUUAUGUUGCCAGCGCGUAAUGGCGGGGACUCGUGAGAGACUGCCGGGGUCAACUCGGAGGAAGGUGGGGAUGACGUCAAGUCAUCAUGCCCCUUAUGUCCAGGGCUUCACACAUGCUAC